RNAcentral lists this ribosomal RNA (505 nucleotides) under uncultured bacterium. RNAcentral describes it as "partial 16S ribosomal RNA". It matches the Rfam family "Bacterial small subunit ribosomal RNA", at positions 28 to 507 of the family's 1533-position model. The record is from RNAcentral.
GACGAACGCUGGCGGCGCGCUUAACACAUGCAAGUCGAGCGAUGAAACUGUAACAGAACCCUUCGGCGGGAAGGGACAGGGGAGUAACGGCGGACGGGUUAGUAACACGUGAGUGACCAGCCUUAGACAUGGGGGUAGACACGGGAAACCGGGAGUAAUAGCAAAUAAAAGAAUUAUGACACAUGUCAUAACGAACAAAACUCCGGUGGACUAAGAUGGACGCGCGUCGAAUUCGCUAGUUGGUAGGGUAAAAGCCUACCAAGGCGAGGAUGGGUAGCCGCUCUGAGAGGAUGGACAGGCACCCUGGAACUGAGGCACAGUCCAGACUCCUGCGGGAGGCAGCAGUCGGGAAUAUUGGACAAUGGGCGAAAGCCUGAUCCAGCCAUGCCGAGUGUGUUAAGAAGGUCUUCGGAUUGUAGAGCACUUUAAGUUGUGAAGAAGUGCAGUACGUUAAUACCUGGCUGUUUUGACGGUACCAACAGAAUAAGCACCGGCUAACUUCGUG